AUAGAUACCCUGGUAGUCCAUGCCGUAAACGAUGUCUACUAGCCGUUGGGGCCCUUGAGGCGUUUAGUGGCGCAGCUAACGCGAUAAGUAGACCGCCUGGGGAGUACGGUCGCAAGACUAAAACUCAAAUGAAUUGACGGGGGCCCGCACAAGCGGUGGAGCAUGUGGUUUAAUUCGAUGCAACGCGAAGAACCUUACCUGGCCUUGACAUACAGAGAACUUUCCAGAGAUAGAUUGGUGCCUUCGGGAACUCUGAUACAGGUGCUGCAUGGCUGUCGUCAGCUCGUGUCGUGAGAUGUUGGGUUAAGUCCCGCAACGAGCGCAACCCUUUUCCUUAUUUGCCAGCACUUCGGGUGGGAACUUUAAGGAUACUGCCAGUGACAAACUGGAGGAAGGCGGGGACGACGUCAAGUCAUCAUGGCCCUUACGGCCAGGGCUACACACGUGCUACAAUGGUCGGUACAAAGGGUUGCUACUGCGCGAGCAGAUGCUAAUCUCAAAAAGCCGAUCGUAGUCCGGAUCGC
RNAcentral lists this ribosomal RNA (524 nucleotides) under uncultured bacterium. RNAcentral describes it as "bacterial SSU rRNA". It matches the Rfam family "Bacterial small subunit ribosomal RNA", at positions 778 to 1301 of the family's 1533-position model. The record is from RNAcentral.